AGCGAACGCUGGCGGCAGGCUUAACACAUGCAAGUCGAACGGGCACUUCGGUGCUAGUGGCAGACGGGUGAGUACACCGGGGAACCUAACCUUUGGGUUCGAAUAAACCAGGGAAAACUUGACCUAUACCGGAUUCGGCCCUCGGGGGGAAGGAUUCUUCGCCGUAAGAUCGGCCCGCGUCUGAUUAGCUAGUUGGUGAGGUAAUGGCUCACCAAGGCGACGAUCAGUAGCUGGUCUGAGAGGAUGAUCAGCCACAUUGGGACUGAGACACGGCCCAAACUCCUACGGGAGGCAGCAGUGGGGAAUAUUGGACAAUGGGCGCAAGCCUGAUCCAGCCAUGCCGCGUGAGUGAUGAAGGCCUUAGGGUUGUAAAGCUCUUUUGUCCGGGAAGAUAAUGACUGUACCGGAAGAAUAAGCCCCGGCUAACUUCGUG
This 433-nucleotide ribosomal RNA is filed under the name uncultured bacterium. Its description in RNAcentral is "partial 16S ribosomal RNA". It matches the Rfam family "Bacterial small subunit ribosomal RNA", at positions 29 to 507 of the family's 1533-position model. The record is from RNAcentral.